Seriola dumerili (greater amberjack) is the source of this 3869-nucleotide RNA transcript. It is a transcript of the gene named cytosolic purine 5'-nucleotidase, with no coding region annotated. The transcript is spliced from 20 exons. The record is from RefSeq and is a predicted model, not a curated record. NCBI's taxonomy places the organism in Eukaryota, Metazoa, Chordata, Actinopteri, Carangiformes, Carangidae.
GUCGGACUGCUGUGAGACGCUCACCACAGCGGAGAACUAGCCUCAGCUGUGGUGGCUCAGUUAGCGGUUCAUUUGCUGUUUGAUGCAGAAAUUGCUUUAACGGUUCAAGAUGACGACUUCAUGGAGCGACCGUCUGCAGAACUAUGCCGACUUACCUGCCAACAUGGACGGUGUGGCCAUGAAGAAGUAUCGGCGUGAAGCUCACCACAGCUUUCCAAGGGAUCUGGCUCAAAACCAUCCUGCAAUGAGAGUGUUUGUCAACAGAAGCUUGGCCAUGGAGAAGAUCAAGUGUUUUGGUUUUGAUAUGGAUUACACUCUGGCAGUGUAUAAAUCUCCUGAGUAUGAGUCGCUGGGCUUUGACUUGACAGUCGAGCGUCUGGUGUCCAUUGGAUAUCCACAAGAGCUGCUCAACUUUGUCUAUGACCCCUCCUUCCCCACCAGAGGUCUGGUGUUUGACACGAUGUACGGCAACCUGCUCAAAGUGGACGCCUAUGGGAACAUCCUGGUGUGUGUGCACGGGUUCAACUUCCUAAGGGGACCUGACAUCAGAGAGAUGUACCCAAACAAAUUUAUUCAACGUGGAGAUACAGAUCGCUUUUACAUCCUCAACACACUCUUCAACCUGCCUGAAACCUACCUGUUUGCUUGUCUGGUUGAUUUCUUCAGUAACUGCUCCAGAUACUCCAGUUGUGAGACUGGCUUCAAAGAUGGUGAUCUCUUCAUGUCCUACAAGAGCAUGUUCCAGGACGUCCGAGACGCUGUGGACUGGGUUCAUUUCAAGGGGUCCUUAAAAGAAAAAACAGUUGAGAAUCUGGAGAAGUACGUAGUAAAGGAUCCGAAGCUUCCUCUCCUCCUCAGUCGCAUGAAUGAAGUAGCCAAAGUAUUUCUGGCCACCAACAGUGAUUACAAAUACACAGAGAAAAUUAUGACCUACCUGUUUGACUUCCCUCACGGCCCAAAGCCGGGCACACCCCACCGGCCCUGGCAGUCCUACUUUGACCUGAUCCUGGUCGACGCCCGGAAGCCCGUGUUCUUUGGAGAGGGAACAGUUCUGCGGCAGGUCGACACUACCACAGGUCGGCUGAAGAUCGGCACAUACACCGGACCUCUCCAGCAUGGUAUUGUUUACUCUGGAGGUUCCUCAGACAUCGUGUGUGACUUGCUGGGUGCUAAAGGAAAGGACAUCAUCUACAUUGGAGACCACAUUUUCGGUGACAUUCUCAAAUCCAAGAAGCGUCAGGGCUGGAGGACUUUCCUGGUGAUACCGGAGCUGGCUCAGGAGCUGCACGUGUGGACCGACAAGAGCUCCAUAUUUGAGGAACUUCAGUCUCUGGACUGCUUCCUGGCAGAGCUUUACAAGCAUCUGGACAGCAGCAGCAAUGAGAGACCUGACAUCAGCUCCCUGCAAAGAAGGAUUAAGAAAGUGACCCAUGACAUGGACAUGUGCUACGGCAUGAUGGGAAGUCUGUUUCGCAGUGGCUCCCGUCAGACGCUGUUCGCCUCCCAAGUGAUGCGCUACGCCGACCUGUACGCCGCCUCCUUCAUCAACCUGCUCUACUACCCCUUCAGUUAUCUUUUCAGAGCUGCACACGUGCUGAUGCCUCAUGAGUCAACGGUGGAGCACACCCACGUCAGCAUUAUCGACACAGAGUCUCCGCUGGCCACGCGAAACCGUCACGACGUCGACUUCAAGGAGAUGGAGUGCAAACGGCACCAACUGACCCGAUCCAUCAGCGAGAUCCAGCCCCCUCACUUCUUCCCCCAGGCUCCUCAGGAGAUCACUCACUGCCACGAUGAGGAUGAUGACGAGGAGGAGGAAGAGGAGGAGGAAGAGGAAGAAGAAGAGGAAGAAGAAGAAGAGUAGAUGGAGGGAGAAGAGCAGAGGAGUCUGAGUCUUUCUCACAUCCAGUUCGUCCAGUUUUAAUGUUUGAAGUUGAUCUUUUCUUUUGUUGAUAACCACAGGGCUGCAGCAGCUGAUUCUAACUGUCAGAGCCACUUUUACAUUUAGAAAAACAGGUUCACUGUGUCAACUGGUCUGGACCUGAUCUUGUACAAGACAGGGACUACUGUAGAUUCAAGUGGUCUUGCUACGUCCCUGAAUCAGAAAGACUUUGGGGCCAAGACUAUCAUCCUGAAGUCCCUCUGUCCUAUGGUCUGGCUGCAUUAUGUGUUUUUUAAAUUACUGCAGAAGUAAUGUAGAUAUGACUCCCUGCACAGUGUUUGCAAUGGAUUGUGAAACAGUUAUUGCCUUAUUCAUCUCACUUUGAGCUGAUACAGUGAGAAUGAAUGAGUUUGAUUGUUAAAGACUAUAUUUUAAACAUUUAUGGUGAAUUGAUUUCAUGAGAGGUAAAAUGUAUGGAAAGCCAUUUCUGACAGGAAAAAUACACAGAUGAUACAUUUGAAAAACAAUACUUACUGUAGGUUAAUAUUACAAAAUAGCAAGUUGAUUUUUUUUUUUUUUUUUACUUUCUAAGUCUAUUUUAUUUUUAAUCACAAAGUCAUAAUUAUGAGAAGUCAAUUAUUUGACUUGAAUUAGAUUAAAAAUUUAGACCAAGUUAUAGUUUAGAUUAUCUCAUUAUUAUGAGAUAGUUAAGAAGUCAAAAUGUAGACUUAAUAUCCAUCAUUAUUCAUAUGUUGUAAAUGUAAGUUCUAAUUUCCAUUUAUAAUUUUUGUCAAAGUUUGUCAAUGUGACAACGUGAAACGUGUUGACUUAGUGUCUUUCUUUUUUCUUUUUUCUUGUCUUCAUUUAGCAAUGGUCAAAUUUAGGUAAUAAGUCAUAUUUAUGAGAUAAUAAAAAAUAUUGACAAAUUGGUCAAAUUAGGUCAAAAUUUUGUUUUUUUUUCUUACUGUAUAUAAAUUUGACAUACAUUCUCAUAAGUUUGAAAUAAAAAGUCCAAGUUUAGACUGUAUUCAUUUUUCCUGGCAGUAAUGGUCCUCCAUAGAGAGGUGAAACUACUGUGUUUCUCUAACUGUAGUUUGAAGUUUAUCAGCUGAUCAGGUCUGUCUGCUGUAUACAUGCUGUUACUGUAAUGGGAGAGGUGGACUGAGCUGCUGAUGUGUCACUGUGGGCCUGUCUCUGUGUGCACUAAUGUCAUCACAGAUACUGCCAGUAUAUGCAAUAGUGUCUUUUAAUAAGCUUCAGAGUUGAUUCGGUUGUUUGUUUUUUUCUUUGAUUACCAUCAUGUCUUUAACCUCCUGCCCUAAUUUUAAAGGAGCUGUGAUUUAACAGGAGGACCUUGUCUGCUGGACUGAUGCACAGUAUUGAUCCUUUGAUGAGGUGAACAGUGAAAUACUCCUUGUUUUACAGGCUGUGUGAUUGUGCUGUUUGUGUGUUACAGCCGCACACAGAAAGUUUCUGAUUGAAUAUGUUGGAGCUGCCUCGUCCUGUCUGGACUGAUCAGCUGGAUCUUUUCUCUCCUUGUUGUGGGUCAAAGUUUAAAUGUCCUGCUGUCUGUUAGGUCUGCGCUCAAAUGGACAGUUGAUUGACUUAUUUCUGCCCGGUUGCACGUUGAGAUAUUUAUCCGGAUAUUUGAGUACGGGAGCAAUUUGUUACACUGCUGCUGUUGAAAAAGAAAGGUUUCAGAGUGGACACCCCCAGAGUGAGCAGCAACAAUGAUUUACAAUGGUCAGUUUUCUUACUCAAGUCAUUUCAGAACUGCAUGCCUGUGUUAAUGACAGCGGUCACUGUCAGCUGCUUUGAAAACUCGCUUCAGCUUCAGACAGAUUCAAGUAUAAAGUGAACCAAAUGAAUGUAUUUUUACCUGCAACAGUUGAUGCAUGUGUUGAAGUUGCAUUUUAAUUUGAAGAGAAUUGAAACGUUGAGACGGUUUGAGUCAUGACUGAUGUUUGUAAUAAAUUUUCUGAUCCAA